GUUGAACGCUGGCGGCAGGCCUAACACAUGCAAGUCGAGCGGAUGAAGGGAGCUUGCUCCUGGAUUCAGCGGCGGACGGGUGAGUAAUGCCUAGGAAUCUGCCUGGUAGUGGGGGAUAACGUCCGGAAACGGGCGCUAAUACCGCAUACGUCCUGAGGGAGAAAGUGGGGGAUCUUCGGACCUCACGCUAUCAGAUGAGCCUAGGUCGGAUUAGCUAGUUGGUGGGGUAAAGGCCUACCAAGGCGACGAUCCGUAACUGGUCUGAGAGGAUGAUCAGUCACACUGGAACUGAGACACGGUCCAGACUCCUACGGGAGGCAGCAGUGGGGAAUAUUGGACAAAGGGCGAAAGCCUGAUCCAGCCAUGCCGCGUGUGUGAAGAAGAUCUUCGGAUUGUAAAGCACUUUAAGUUGGGAGGAAGGGCAGUAAGUUAAUACCUUGCUGUUUUGACGUUACCAACAGAAUAAGCACCGGCUAACUUCGUG
RNAcentral lists this ribosomal RNA (484 nucleotides) under uncultured bacterium. Its description in RNAcentral is "partial 16S ribosomal RNA". It matches the Rfam family "Bacterial small subunit ribosomal RNA", at positions 28 to 507 of the family's 1533-position model. The record is from RNAcentral.